UUAUAUAGACGUAUGUAAUUGUGGGGUUCUAAGCUUUACGGGAAACCCAACCGAAAAUUUUUUAAAUAAAAAAUUUUCGGUUAGAUUUUCCGUAAAGCUUAAAACCCCGCAAUUACAUACACCUACCUAUAUAA
This 134-nucleotide microRNA precursor is filed under the name Brassica napus (rape). Its description in RNAcentral is "MIR9555 microRNA precursor family". It matches the Rfam family "MIR9555 microRNA precursor family". Lineage: Eukaryota; Viridiplantae; Streptophyta; Magnoliopsida; Brassicales; Brassicaceae. The record is from Rfam by way of RNAcentral.